AUGCCGUCCCCGCCCUCGGUCAACGGCGCCAAUGUCAGUGCCAGCACCAGCAGCGUCUGGGCCACGUCGCAGAGCCUCCUCGGCAGCAUGUUCGCGCCGUCUUCCGUGGCCCAGGCGCCGCAGUACCCGGAGUGCGCACUGGCCGCCAAGCCCCCGUUGCUGUGCCUCGCGACCGACGCCGCGUCCGCCCAGUUCUCGGCCCCCGCGGCUGACAGUCAGCAGCAGCUCCCGCCGCCGUCGCCGUCCCCGUCCGCGCACAUGUCCGCCAUGGCGCUGCUUCAGAAGGCGGUGCAGAUGGGCGCCACCUCGUCGAGCUCCUCGUUCCUGCGUGGGCUGGGCCUGGACAUCUCGUCGUCGUCGCCGGCGUCGACGUCGUCAGCUCCGAUGAUGUCGGCCGGGCUGGGCCUCGGUUUACCAUACGACUCUACCGGCGGUCCGAUGGGGUUGCCGGAGCUCAUGAUGGGCCAGUCAUCGCUGUUCAGUGCCAAGUCGGCCACGCUGGACUUCCUGGGGCUCGGGAAGAGCCCCACCGGCGCAACGACGAGCAGGGGCCUCCCCGUGUUCAUGCAGCCCAUGGGCGGCGCGGUCGGCAUGGCCCGGACCGGCAGCGGCGCGGCGGAGACGUUCGGCUCCGGCCGGGAUGCUCAGGCCAAGCCGUGA
RNAcentral lists this ribosomal RNA (660 nucleotides) under Triticum aestivum (bread wheat). RNAcentral's name for it is "partial small subunit ribosomal RNA". Lineage: Eukaryota; Viridiplantae; Streptophyta; Magnoliopsida; Poales; Poaceae. The record is from RNAcentral.